RNAcentral lists this long non-coding RNA (224 nucleotides) under Lynx pardinus (Iberian lynx). Lineage: Eukaryota; Metazoa; Chordata; Mammalia; Carnivora; Felidae. The record is from RNAcentral.
AAAACGGUUUUUGAGCAUCUUAUAUAAGCUGUGGUUUUAAAUGGGUUGCACUAUAAACAACAUUAAUGAAAUUAUUAAAUAAAAAUGCGUUUUCUUUCCUCCAGUAUGUCUGUCAUACAAAAAAGAUGGAUGCCUUCCUUUCAAGAUAUUUGAGUGGAUCACCAAAUGACUGCCUACUUCUCUCUCACAGCUCAGAUAAAUAAUUAAAAGGAGAUAUACACAGA